GGUUAGGGGGUUAUAGGGUGCUAUGGGGUUAUGGGUCCUAUUGGGGGAUAAUGGGGGUAUAUGGGGGAUGGGCUAUGGGGGAAUAUUGGGGGGAUAUGGGGGAUUUGGGGGAUAUGGGGGCAUAUGGGGGAUAUGGGAUAUGGGGGGAUACUGGGGGAUAUCGGGGGAUAUGGGGGGAUAUGGGGGCAUAUGGGGGAUAUGGGGGGAUAUAGGGAUUGGGGGAUUUGGGGGAUAUGGGGGAUAUGGGGGGAUAUGGGGGAUAUGGGGAUAUGGGGGGAUAUGGGGGAUAUGGGGGAUAUGGGGAUAUGGGGAUAUGAGGGGAAUAUGGGGAUAUGGGGGAUAAUGGGGGAUAUGGGGGAUAUGGGGAUAUGGGGGGAUAUGGGGGGAUAUGGGGGAUUAUGGGGAUAAUGGGGAUUAUGGGGGAUAUGGGGGAUUAUGGGGAUAUGGGGGUAUGGGGGAUAUGGGGGAUAUGGGGUCAUUGGGGUAUUGGGGUCUAUGGGGUCCUAUGGGGUCUAAUGGGGUCAAAAUUGGGGGCUAUGGGGGGUUAUAGGGGCCAUUGGGUCAAUGGGGGUUAUGGGACUAUGGUGGGCUAUGGGGGGCUAUGGGGGAUAUGGGGGCUAUGGGGUCAAUGGGGGGAUUAUGGGGGUUAUGGGGUCAAUGGGGGGAUAUGGGGGCUAUGGGGUCGUAUGGGGGGAUAUGCGGGGAGCUAAUGGGGGAUAUGGCGGCUAAUGGGGUCCUAUGGGGGACUUGGGGGGCUAUGGUGGGAUACUGGGGUUAUGUGGGGUUAUGGGGCUAUGGGGGUUAUUGGGGUAAUGGGGGGAUAGGGGGAUCAUGGGGUAUGGGGGUAUUGGGGCUAUGGGGGCGUGCCACCACACGGCUGUUGGGGGGUACUGCAGGAAGGGUAUGGGGUUAUUUA
Molecule: long non-coding RNA, 916 nt
Filed under: Coturnix japonica (Japanese quail)
Lineage: Eukaryota; Metazoa; Chordata; Aves; Galliformes; Phasianidae
Description: lncRNA (ENSCJPG00005002653.1)
Source: RNAcentral